CCAGGGCUGGCACCACACCGGUUCGGCCAUGGACCCGGAGUGUCCCAGCAGCGUUCCCCUCUGGGUGCCCGUUUCCCGCAGCCCAGCCUGGCAGGAAGCUGGCGGCAGAUAAAUGCAUUAAAAAUAUGCUCGGAGCGUGCAGCAGCCGGGGAGCGAACAGCGGCGAGCACUGGCGCUGCCAUCAGCCCCCGGUGCCACCAGGGCCGGCAGGAGAGGGACAGGAGGGGACAGGGCAGGACAGGCACAGGAAGGGACAAGGGGGGCUCUACGGGCCCCUCCAUCCCAUGUGCAGCAGUCCCGACCCUGUGAGCAUCCUGCCCUGCCUGCCCCAGGGUCUCCUCUGAGGACAUCCAUGGGGACAUCUUGGUGCCACAAGCUCAGUGCUGACCGUUUUUAUCCUAUUUCUAUCCUAUUUGUGCCUUUCGACCCUGUGAAUGGAAGGGCCCAGUGGGGUGCUGGGGAAGGGCAGCCUGGCUCAGAGGGUGCAGAUGUGGGGCAGAUGUCAGGGAUGUGACAUCCAUGGAUGUGGCUGUCCCCACGGGCACGUGUCACUGCGGGCACACCGUGUCCUUCCACGGCGCUGGUGGGAGGAGUGGGUGCCUAAACUGAGUCUUUGCAUGACUAAAACUCGUUAAAGGUCCCCGUGAUGAGUCUCAGGAAAUUCAGAUCUGGGAGAGGCUGGUUUGGCACUGACUGCACAGCACCAGGGGCAGGUGACACAUGGCACCAGGGGACAGGUGAAGGACAGACCCACCAUGAGAGUCUUCAGUCAGAGGGCCAAAGCUUUCCUCUUGCAGUCUCUCCAAAUUGGGGUGUUUAUCCUAACAAGGUGGGUUUUGGUGACCAGGAACUCCUACGGAGCCACUUUUCCCUUCAACGAUCUUUGAAGAGAGGAGAGGGGGAAAGCCACUUUACAAAGUUUGGAUGCACAAUCCCAGGGAAAUGGGGCUGGAAGAUGUCCAUGGCUGUUCCUCCCCAGUCCUGCUGCCCUGCUCCCACAUUUGGAGCUCAAACACAAUGAAUGUCUCCUGCUGAAUGCAGCCAGAAAAAGGGGAGAAGAUUCCUCACUGCCUGCCCGAGGCCUCAGUUCCAGUGGUAUGUGUGGCAGAGCUUUGUAUGGCCUCGAUUCUGUCCUCAUCAGAAAAUGACAGUCUGAGCAUCAUCAUUUUCUGUGGCACUGGAAAAGUGCUGAAAAAAAUUCAAUUUCGAGCCCCAGAUAUUUGCAGCCUCUAAGGCAGUGUCCUAUAAAUCUAGUUACAGGUUCUUCUCUAUUAGCAGUAAGUGCUGGAGCACUUUUAAAUAUGAACAAUGGUGAUGGAGAAGGAUAAAACCAAAAUAGUGCUCCCGUGGCUUUGUGCAGGGUAGAAUUAGGGAGCAUAAUCCAAAUAAUAACAUCUCAUGCUUUUAUGGGUGCAUAUGGCGUAAAUGACAGCUCAUUAAACUUUAUAUCCUGCCUACAAGAUAAGCAUGUAAUUAGUAUUACAUCCUUUUUUAUAAUUAGGAGGCCUCAUCCAAAAAAAUGUGGCUCACAAGCCAUAUUUGAAGGCGGUGACUCAGCCUGAAUUAGGCUGUGUUGUGAGGAUGGAGGGAAUCGUGCUUUAGAGGGCUGAAAAACAGGGACAAAAGGUUGAGCCGGUGUCAGGCUCCUGUGCCUGCAUCCACCCGCUGCAAAACACAGGCGGAUGAAGUUUUUAACAUCAGGAGUGGCCGGAGCCGGUGCUGCCAGCCCAGCUUAGGGCCGGACCGAGCUCC
Molecule: long non-coding RNA, 1752 nt
Filed under: Zonotrichia albicollis (white-throated sparrow)
Lineage: Eukaryota; Metazoa; Chordata; Aves; Passeriformes; Passerellidae
Description: lncRNA (ENSZALG00000014106.1)
Source: RNAcentral